CCUACGGGAGGCAGCAGUGGGGAAUAUUGCACAAUGGGCGAAAGCCUGAUGCAGCAACGCCGCGUGAGCGAUGAAGGCCUUCGGGUCGUAAAGCUCUGUCCUCAAGGAAGAACGGUCACUGUGCUAAUCAGCAGUGAAUUGAUGGUACCUGCAAAGGAAGCACCGGCUAACUCCGUGCCAGCAGCCGCGGUAAUACGGAGGGUGCGAGCGUUAAUCGGAAUUACUGGGCGUAAAGCGCUCGUAGGCGGUAUGUCAAGUCAAGGGUGAAAUCCCCGCGCUCAACGUGGGAACUGCCUUUGAAACUGGCAAACUGGAGUGUGUGAGAGGAUAGUGGAAUUCCAGGUGUAGGAGUGAAAUCCGUAGAUAUCUGGAGGAACAUCAGUGGCGAAGGCGACUAUCUGGCACAUAACUGACGCUGAGGAGCGAAAGCGUGGGUAGCAAACAGGAUUAGAUACCCGAGUAGUC
This 465-nucleotide ribosomal RNA is filed under the name uncultured bacterium. Its description in RNAcentral is "partial 16S ribosomal RNA". It matches the Rfam family "Bacterial small subunit ribosomal RNA", at positions 338 to 795 of the family's 1533-position model. The record is from RNAcentral.